Molecule: transfer RNA, 77 nt
Filed under: Hyphomicrobiales bacterium
Lineage: Bacteria; Pseudomonadati; Pseudomonadota; Alphaproteobacteria; Hyphomicrobiales
Description: Rhizobiales bacterium tRNA-Met
Rfam family: tRNA
About the family: Transfer RNA (tRNA) molecules are approximately 80 nucleotides in length. Their secondary structure includes four short double-helical elements and three loops (D, anti-codon, and T loops).
Source: RNAcentral
GGGCGUGUCGCCAAGUGGUCUAAGGCCGUCGGCUCAUAACCGAUUUAUCGCAGGUUCAAAUCCUGCCACGCCCACCA